GAAAUGCGAUACUUGGUGUGAAUUGCAGAAUUCAGUGAAUCAUCGAAUCUUUGAACGCAUAUUGCGCUCUCUGGUAUUCCGGAGAGCAUGCUUGUUUGAGUAUCAGUAAACACCUCAACUCCUCUCUUCUCUUUUGAAAAUGGGAGUUGGACUUGAGUAAUCCCAACGCUUUUCUCACCGAACAGUGGCGGGUUACUUGAAAUGCAGGUGCAGCUGGACUAUUUCUCUGAGCUAAAAGCAUAUCUAUUUAGUCUGCCUAAAAAACAGAUUAUUACCUUUGCUGCAGCUAACAUAAAGGAGAUUAGUUCUUGUGCUGACUGAUGCAGGAUUCACAGAGACGGCUUUGGCUGGCUUUGUAAACUCGAUCUCAAAUCAAGUAAGACUACCCGCUGAACUUAA
This 399-nucleotide unclassified non-coding RNA is filed under the name uncultured fungus. Its description in RNAcentral is "sequence contains ITS1". The stretch from base 1 to 105 matches the Rfam family "5.8S ribosomal RNA", at positions 50 to 154 of the family's 154-position model. Lineage: Eukaryota; Fungi. The record is from RNAcentral.